ACGGGUGAGUAAUGUCUGGGGAUCUGCCCGAUAGAGGGGGAUAACCACUGGAAACGGUGGCUAAUACCGCAUAACGUCGCAAGACCAAAGAGGGGGACCUUCGGGCCUCUCACUAUCGGAUGAACCCAGAUGGGAUUAGCUAGUAGGCGGGGUAAUGGCCCACCUAGGCGACGAUCCCUAGCUGGUCUGAGAGGAUGACCAGCCACACUGGAACUGAGACACGGUCCAGACUCCUACGGGAGGCAGCAGUGGGGAAUAUUGCACAAUGGGCGCAAGCCUGAUGCAGCCAAGCCGCGUGUAUGAAGAAGGCCUUCGGGUUGUAAAGUACUUUCAGCGGGGAGGAAGGCGAUGGGGUUAAUAACCUUAUCGAUUGACGUUACCCGCAGAAGAAGCACCGGCUAACUCCGUGCCAGCAGCCGCGGUAAUACGGAGGGUGCAAGCGUUAAUCGGAAUUACUGGGCGUAAAGCGCACGCAGGCGGUCUGUUAAGUCAGAUGUGAAAUCCCCGGGCUUAACCUGGGAACUGCAUUUGAAACUGGCAGGCUUGAGUCUUGUAGAGGGGGGUAGAAUUCCAGGUGUAGCG
Molecule: ribosomal RNA, 582 nt
Filed under: uncultured Pantoea sp.
Lineage: Bacteria; Pseudomonadati; Pseudomonadota; Gammaproteobacteria; Enterobacterales; Erwiniaceae
Description: bacterial SSU rRNA
Rfam family: Bacterial small subunit ribosomal RNA
Source: RNAcentral